Molecule: ribosomal RNA, 498 nt
Filed under: uncultured bacterium
Lineage: Bacteria
Description: partial 16S ribosomal RNA
Rfam family: Bacterial small subunit ribosomal RNA
Source: RNAcentral
AUUGAACGCUGGCGGCAUGCCUUACACAUGCAAGUCGAACGGUAACAGGUCUUCGGAUGCUGACGAGUGGCGAACGGGUGAGUAAUACAUCGGAACGUGCCUAGUAGUGGGGGAUAACUACUCGAAAGAGUGGCUAAUACCGCAUGAGAUCUACGGAUGCAAGCAGGGGAUCGCAAGACCUUGUGCUACUAGAGCGGCCGAUGGCAGAUUAGGUAGUUGGUGGGAUAAAAGCUUACCAAGCCGACGAUCUGUAGCUGGUCUGAGAGGACGAUUAGCAACACUGGGACUGAGAAACGGCCCAGACUCCUGCGGGAGGCAGCAGUGGGGAAUUUUGGACAAGGGGCGAAAGCCUGAUCCAGCAAUGACGCGUGCAGGGUGAAGGCCUUCGGGUUGUGAACUGCUUUUGUACGGAACGAAAAGCCACGGGUUAAUACCAUAGGGUCAUGACGGUACCGUAAGAAUAAGCACCGGCUAACUACGUGCCAGCCGCCGCAGUAA